This 4387-nucleotide long non-coding RNA is filed under the name Mytilus galloprovincialis (Mediterranean mussel). Lineage: Eukaryota; Metazoa; Mollusca; Bivalvia; Mytilida; Mytilidae. The record is from RNAcentral.
AAUGCCAACUUCUUUAACAAGUAUUUGGACAUGUUUUUAGUAAUCAUUCUGGUUUUGGGAAAAAAAUGAGACAUCUGUAAUCAUCAUUCUACAACCAAAUCAUUUCUUAAAACAACAGUUAUGUUUAGAUUGAGGUACACAUUGAUCUUAUGUGAACAAAACAAAGAUUUUUUGUUACUGUGCGAGGUCAAAAUCGAUCACGUCCACUUGGUUAGUACCUAUAUCUGGUGUACUGUGAGUGCACUAUAAAUGGUUAAAAAUCUAUUAUAGUGUCAGAAAAAAGAAUCAUUAACCUGAAUUACUUCAUACAUAGUAUGGUUGCGUGUCUUAAGAUUGAAGCACUUUUAAUUGAAUCAAUUGUUCUAUAGAAAUGGUACAAAAAUUAUCAUAUUUAGUAUUAUAUACACUUCAAUUUGAUAAUUCAAGAAAAAUAAACUUUUAUGAUAGUGCUUUAGAUGUUGUGUUUAAACUUUUAAUUAUAGUGUAUAUAGUGUAUAUUUUAUGUAAUAUUGUAUAUAUAGUCUUACAAUAAUAGAAUUGGUAGGAAGAAUGAAGUUGGGUGUAUUUAUACAUGUGUCAUUUGAUAAUGGUGAUAUAACAGUUAGUUAUGUUUUAUUUAUGUUAGAAGAAUAACACUACAUUUAAAAAAAAAUUAGUAUUUUAAUUGCAUGCUAUGUGCAUGUAGUUGAAAUUUCGUUAUAAGGGCAAGCUAUAUGCAUGUAGUUAACUUUUUGUUAUUUCAUCAAAAUAAUUUUAGAAGUUCUGGUAUAAGUAAUUUCAAUCUGAAUCUGAAUAUUGUGACUUAGUGCAAUUGUAUUUUUUAAUACCAACUCUGAUGAAUUAUUUCCAGUUAAUAUAUUAUUACUGUGUUCAUUGUGAUUUUUCCAAACUGAUUGACAAAGUGCUGGAAUGCUUCUUUUAUUUAAAAGUUUAAUGAUAAUGAAAUUACAAAAUUAGAGAAAUUCUUAAAUAAAGAAUAUUGAUAAAGCAUAAUGUGUCGGCAGCUGCUUCUGUGUGAAUUAUCACAGAAAAAAAUAUGAAAAUAAUUUGCCAUUUUCACAUUUUUAACUUAAAAUUGUAAAAUUUGCUUAACAAAUUGUAUUCUAAACAUUAAAUAUCCAACAAAAAAUUUCAGCAAAUAGUUAGAAAUGUGUUUAAAUUUUGGCACACUUUGGGACUUUCAUAAAAUAAAAAAAACAUCAACUAGAAUUUCUACUUUUUGUAAUACAUGUAAUAUGUGAACAUGUGUUCGAAUUGGUAGCCAUUUUAGUACACCAAAUUUUGGGAACUUCAAAUGAUAUUAUCAUAAUGUUAUACUAGCUAGGUUGUGUAUUGAAUAUUUUCCCUAUAGUGAUGUUUUAAGCUCAAUAAUUAUUAGACAAUAUGAAAUCUCAUCACAUAUCCUUCUCAUUUUAUUUAUGUUUUAUUCCAAAUAUUUAGUAAUAGUAUUCAUACCAUAAAUAAACUAACUAAAUGCUUCAUGUUUAAGAGGAUGAGAAAAUCUUAAGUUGUCCUAACUAAAUGCUUCAGGUUUAAGAGGAUGAGAAAAUCUUAAGUUGUCCUAUAAAAUCUUUAUUUAAUUUCUGGCCAUUAGAGCAGUCAUAGUACUGUAAAAAUAAAGAAAACAACUUUUUUUCACUGCCAGUAGAAAUUAUUGUUUUGUUCUAUAUAAAGCUGAAAUACUAAUUACUUUGUUUUAUAAACUUAAGAACUGAUUGUUUUGUUCUAUAAAUGAAUUAAUAAUAGUUUUGAUCUAUAAACUGAAUAAAUAAUAGUUUUGAUCUAUAAACUGAAUAAAGAAUUGUUUUGUUCUAUAAACUGAAUAAAGAAUUGUUUUGUUCUAUAAACUGAGUUUAUAAUAGUUUUGUUCUUUAAACAUGAUAAACUGAAUUUAUAAUUGUUUUGCUCUUUAAACAUGAUAAACUGAAUUUAUAAUUGUUUUAUUCUAUAAACAUGAUAAACUGACUUGUUUUGUUCUAUAAACUGAAUAAAUAACUGUUUUGUUGUAUAAACUGAAUUUAUAAUUGUUUUGUUCGAUAAACUGUAAAAAUAUUGUUUUGUUCUAAAAAAAUAAAGAAAAGUUCAUAACCAAACAAACUAAUAUAGUUUUCAUUUACAGUCGACUCUUUUAUCUCGAAGUCAGCCGGCACCAGAGAAAAUAUUUCGAGAUACACGUAGUUCGACUCAAACGAAAACCGGAAGUUUGACAGAACAAGGGACAACAACUCUUGCUUAGCUUGGGUAAAGCUAAAAUAAAUCCGGAUGAAUAUUGGGAAGGGGAUCGAUAUUCUGGUAUCAGAUCGAUGUAUUUGUUUUGUCAUGGUCUUUCAUUAUUAUAAUAACAUUACUUUUUACUUAUUAAUUGUUUCAGAUACAUUUUUUUUCCUAUGGCUUUUAUCGAGAGAGUAAUUUCCAAUCGAUAGUUUCAUUAUUUAGGUCGUUUAUAGUUGACAAAAGUGUUUAUUCUCGGAUACAAGAGACUUUAGAUAAUUAGAUUUUCUCGUCAUUUUGUUUUAUCUCACUCUUUUCUUUUCAAAAGAAAACACAACAAGAUUUAAAAAACGCCGAUUGAGUAUUUUAGGUGAUCAUCAACGGAAAGUCAUAUCCUUACUUAUACCACAACCAAGCUCAUUAGUUUUAAAUAACAAUUAAUUGUUUUGUAAACAUUUUAAAUACUUUCCAUGAACAAUAACAAUGAAUCACUAAUUAUUUAUAAAAAUUCUAUAAAAGAAAAUCUCAGGUAAACACUCGUGGAAAUAGCAUGUCAUAAAUCAUUACAGUGGUCAGUGACUGGAAAUUUAAUUACACGUGUAUUGUCAGAUAUACCUCUUCGAUCCAUUAAAAAUGCCGGGAUGUCAUGUUUGUAAUCAAUAAUGUAUUAGUUCGAGAUAAAAUUAUGAAUUUUGAAUGCUUUUUAAACCUUGGAUUGUUAAUUUUAGUUCGACUCAACUGAAAUUUCGACUCAUCCAAUUUCGACUUCAUCAGAAGUUGAAUUACAUACAUUUAUAUGGAACAAAGUUCGGGACCACGUGAAAACUUCGACUCAUCUGAAAUUUCGAGUCAACGAGUUCGACGACAACGAGAGUUAACUGUAUAUGGUUUUACUGGUGAAUUGCAACAAAUACAUGCAAUUUCUAAAAACAAAGACUAUUUUUUUUAAAUAACAUCAUGUUCUACUGUUACACAAAUAUCCAGCAUGGCAAGGAUUUUUUUUAAAAUAAUAAACUUCUUUUUAAUUUUUAGUUGUUUUAUAUAAAGGUAUAUUUGAAAUCUAUUAAAAACUGUGUUAAAUAUUUGUAUCAUGAAACAAGUAACUUUAUUUAAAAAUGCAAGGUGAAGGAGUACAUCUCAAUUUGAAUAGGGUUUAAUAACAUUAAGUUAUGGUUUAUAACUUAUAGAAUGGAGAAAAAAAUAUAUGCUCAAUAGGCAAACAUUUUUUUUUCUUUUCAAGAAAUUUACCCCCCAAUAUUAGCUUCUACACAAAAUUGCAUAGUAGAUUUUUUUUAACGAGAUCAUAAGUUUUGACUUAAAUUUGACAGUGUAGUACAACUGAAGAACAUUGAUAUAAUAAACUGCAAUUGUAAGUCCAUCUAAUAAAAGUAGUGUAAUCAUAUGAUAUUGUUUAGUGAUGUACCUUUUUUGUCAACUGUUUGUUAAAAACAACAAUUUUCUAAUAAUUUUUUGUUAUUGUUUCAUAUAUAUGUUGCAUAUGGAGAAUAAUUGUUGUGGAAUUAAUGGAUGGCUUUUGUAUGCAAAGGAAGAAAGCUUUACUUCUGGUAGCAUGACAUACAUGUAUAUAAUUCAAUAAAAAUGUUAACACUUUUUUAAACAUUUGUCUUUGUUUUUAUUAUAUAUAAAUGAAAUGAAACAGCAAUAUAAAGACUCAAAUGAUCAUCUGAUGUCCAGAGGGCAACAUACAGUCUUGAAAAAUACUAGUAGUUGUCAGUACUGUACUUUGAAAUCUUACAGGGGCAAGUAAACUCAUCAUAGAUACCAGGAUUAAAAUUUUGUAUUUGCGCCAGACACACAAUUUUGUCUACAAAAGCCUCAUUGCAAAAUAUUCUAUUAAUAAUUACAUAAUGUCAUUCAAAUAUGACAUGCGAUAACUUCUUGUAAUGACAUUAACUGUACCAAUUUUUUCUGCACCAGAUGUGUAUAUAGACAACAAAUAUAUCUUCAGUGAUGCUGUGUAAAUUAAUCAGAAUUAUCAAUACAGAGGUAUGUUCUCCUGGUUGAUCAUCAAUCUGUCAUCUUUUAUGCUGGUUUUGUACAAUCUUGUCAUGGCCAGAAUCUGUAUGUUAUUUACAUAUAAUAAUUAUAUGUAAAUAUUAUUUCUUUGUAUCAUUUACUUGGUUUUGUAAGAAAUAAAAAAUAUUGAAUCUAGGCC